UACGUAGGGGGCGAGCGUUGUCCGGAAUUACUGGGCGUAAAGGGCGUGUAGGCGGCCAUAAAAGUCAGAGGUGAAAACCUGCGGCUCAACUGCGGGACUGCCUUUGAAACUAUAUGGCUUGAGGACAGGAGAGGGAAGUGGAAUUCCCAGUGUAGCGGUGAAAUGCGUAGAUAUUGGGAGGAACACCAGUGGCGAAGGCGACUUCCUGGCCUGGACCUGACGCUGAGGCGCGAAAGCGUGGGGAGCAAACAGGAUUAGAUACCCCCGUAGUCC
Molecule: ribosomal RNA, 273 nt
Filed under: uncultured bacterium
Lineage: Bacteria
Description: partial 16S ribosomal RNA
Rfam family: Bacterial small subunit ribosomal RNA
Source: RNAcentral